This 27-nucleotide non-coding RNA is filed under the name Homo sapiens (human). Lineage: Eukaryota; Metazoa; Chordata; Mammalia; Primates; Hominidae. The record is from RNAcentral.
UUGAAUGCUCACAACUUGAUUAUGCCA